GCUACUUUUGCCGGCGAGCGGCGGACGGGUGAGUAAUGCCUGGGAAAUUGCCCAGUCGAGGGGGAUAACAGUUGGAAACGACUGCUAAUACCGCAUACGCCCUACGGGGGAAAGCAGGGGACCUUCGGGCCUUGCGCGAUUGGAUAUGCCCAGGUGGGAUUAGCUAGUUGGUGAGGUAAUGGCUCACCAAGGCGACGAUCCCUAGCUGGUCUGAGAGGAUGAUCAGCCACACUGGAACUGAGACACGGUCCAGACUCCUACGGGAGGCAGCAGUGGGGAAUAUUGCACAAUGGGGGAAACCCUGAUGCAGCCAUGCCGCGUGUGUGAAGAAGGCCUUCGGGUUGUAAAGCACUUUCAGCGAGGAGGAAAGGUUGUUGGCUAAUACCCGCCGGCUGUGACGUUACUCGCAGAAGAAGCACCGGCUAACUCCGUGCCAGCAGCCGGCGG
Molecule: ribosomal RNA, 447 nt
Filed under: uncultured Aeromonas sp.
Lineage: Bacteria; Pseudomonadati; Pseudomonadota; Gammaproteobacteria; Aeromonadales; Aeromonadaceae
Description: bacterial SSU rRNA
Rfam family: Bacterial small subunit ribosomal RNA
Source: RNAcentral